RNAcentral lists this small RNA (2819 nucleotides) under Rattus norvegicus (Norway rat). Its description in RNAcentral is "uncharacterized LOC102551791". The record is from RNAcentral. Lineage: Eukaryota; Metazoa; Chordata; Mammalia; Rodentia; Muridae.
CCAUCAUUAGAAGUAGGUUUUUUAAAAAUUAAAGCUCAGGGUUCAGCUUGCACUUAUUAGUCAGCUCUCAGUACCCUAGAGCUGGAGACAGGAGACUGCCCUGAGGGGGCUAAAUAGGCAGCUCCGAGGGUUCACUGUAGUAGUUGGAACACCCCGCCCCCUUCUUCUUUCAGGCUUCACUCAGGGCCCUCAUGCUACAGUCACAUGCUUCUCUCUUGAGAUAGGGGGAAUUCAUGGACAUGCGUGUAAGGCGUGUGUGCUCUUACACAUGUGUAAGACAUGGGGUGCCCUCUAACUUAUUGCCUUGAGGCAGGCUCUCUGUCUGGACUGGAAUCUCAUCAUAUAGGCUCUACUAGCCGUGCAGUGAGUUCUUGGGGCUCCCCGGGCCUCAUGUCUUCAAUACCAGAGUUAUAGGCACAGCCAUGCAUACAGAGCAAGUGUCUUACCCCCUGGGUCAUCUCCCCAGGCCCCUGUCUGGUGGUCCAUUGUCCCUUAGUUGCGUCUGACAUAUCACCCUGUCCACUGGGACUGGUCUCAGCUCCAAGCACCAGCUCUGUUCCCUCUCAGAGGGCCAGGGGAUAAGGGAAUUUCCCCUAUUGAGGUUUUGCGUCACCUUUAAGCCGUGGGGAGUGGGGAGGCCAAUAUUCUGCUCACUGGUUCUUGGAGACUUGAAUUAGCGGGACAUUGGCUGGGGCUGGGACAUGGCUCCACGGCAUCCGUUUGCACUGAGCUGUGACCACAUCCAUCCAUCCAUCCAUUUGCCACCACGAGUUUCUGUGACCACACCAUGCUCACUGAUGGUCUUCCAACUCACCCCUGGGGAGAUGGGAGCUUUCAGCCUGUGGAUCCUGAGCAAACCCUGCUUCCUUUCUGCUCCAGGAAACAAACCGGAGAGCCACAAAAGGCUGGGCCCCAAGGAAGGGGCAGAGUCCCUAGGCUACCCCUACUCUAGUGUCACCCCGUGUAACCCUGCUCUGCCUGGCUGCUGAUGCUCCCUCCCAGGUCAACCCAACAUCCCCACCUUCAAGAUGACUGAGAGAACAGCUUCUUCUUGAAACCUCUGGACACAGAGCAUGUCCACCUCAUGCAUCUGUACAGCUUCUGUGUCCGAGCCUCCUGCAGAAAGACAGAGAAGGAUCCGUGUCCUAGACUAAACUGAGAUUUAUUUUUGGAGUCUCAGGGCCAAGGUCUCCCUUUAGUGGCCAGCAGACAUGGGCGGCAGUCACAGCCUACCUUCUGAAGCCCAUCAAAGUGGUUGGAAGCUGGGCUAGCUCCCAGCAGGGAUACCAGUGUCUCAGCCUUGAUGGGGAGAAAGGCAUGAGGCUGUAGAGCCAGGGGACACAGUCUAAAGCCUUGUGGGGGCUUGGGAUGCGGCUCAGUUGGGAGUGCUUGCCUAGAAGCACAGCGCCCUGGUUUGCGUCCCAGCACUGUGUGAAGCAGGCACAGUGGUACACGCCUGUCCUCCCAGCGCUCAGGAGGGAAACAGGAACUUCAGAAGAGCAGUAGCAUCCUUUCCCUGGGGCCAUAAAUAGAACCGGGUAUGGUGGUGCAUGCCUUUAAUUCCAACCAAAGUAGGUAGAUCUCAGAGUUGGAGGCCAGUCGGGGCUGUGUCUCGAUACCUCGUCUCAAAAUAAUACCUCGUCUCAAAGUGGUGUGAGAACUGCCCAUGGGGUGGCCAAAUGCAAGAAGCCUCAGAAUUCAAGAUAAAUUCGGUACUGAGUGGGGGUGGGGCUCUGAGUUCCAAGUAGAGAAUCCAGGGGCCACACUCUACACCCAGCCCUGCGCUCACUGCUCCCAAGGGGACUUGGAAGCUUAGAUGCCCAUGUGUACAGAAUCUGUAUGGAGGAAACGGUGUGUGUGUGUGUGGGGGGGGUCACUGAACUAAGACCCUCUCUAGGAGCAAGGGACCAUGGCAGCUAUGUUGGAGAGAGCUGGGCAACGCGCUGAGGAGCCUGGGUGCUACAGACCACUGCAGCCCGUGUCCCAGUGAGCUCACCACAGACCCCAGCCCAGGCCUACCUCAGGAGACUGUGAGAGUUAUAGUCUGCAAGACAGCAAGCCGACCAGCCCCACACCUACCUCCACUAAUCCACCAUCAGCUCAGUCACACCAGGUCACAUGCUGCGUGCAAUGCUUAGAAACUCCCAGCUAAGCAAGUGCCUGACUUCCAGCUGGGAAAGCAGUUUGUGUACACAAGCUCCUAUGUGUGCGGAUGCGGAUGCCGGGGCAAGCCAGAAGAGAUCGGUGAAUCUCCCAGAGCUGGAGUUCCAGAUGACGUUCGCCCAGUAGCUCUGCAAAGGCCACAAGCAUCGUUGCCCACUGAGCAUCUUUUCAGUCCUCCAUCAACUUCUGAAAACAUCAUUUUAUGGACACAAGUGUAUGUGCACCGAACGAGUUCAAGGCCUGCAGAGGCCAGAAGAGGAGGCUGUCAGAUCCCCUGAAACUACAGUAUAGAUAGUUGAGUUGUGAAUUACCUUGUGGGUGCUGAGAAACAAACCCAGGUCCUCUGGAAGAACAGCAAGUGCACUAAACAACUGCGUAUUCCACACACACCCUUUUAAGAUGGGGUCCUGCCCCACCCCACCCCAUCCCACCCCGCUGGCCUGCAGCUCACUAGAUAGCCUAGGCUGACUGGCUAGCAAGUCUGUCUCUGUUACCUGGGGGCAUGCUCGCCCAUGUGUGCGUGCGUGUUUAAUGUCAGACCUGGGAUUAUGACGCUGCCUGGAUUCUCUUUCUGUGGAGACUUCAUGCUUGUUGCACACGUGUCUCCCAGCCUGGAAAUCUGUGUUGGCCGAGAGAAUAAAUAGUAUGAGAACAGC